RNAcentral lists this ribosomal RNA (254 nucleotides) under uncultured bacterium. RNAcentral's name for it is "partial 16S ribosomal RNA". It matches the Rfam family "Bacterial small subunit ribosomal RNA", at positions 524 to 777 of the family's 1533-position model. The record is from RNAcentral.
UACAGAGGUCCCGAGCGUUGUUCGGAUUCAUUGGGCGUAAAGGGUGCGUAGGCGGCGGGGAAAGUCUGAUGUGAAAUCCUGGGGCUCAACCCUGGAACUGCAUUGGAUACUUCCUUGCUAGAGUACUGGAGAGGAAACUGGAAUUUACGGUGUAGCAGUGAAAUGCGUAGAGAUCGUAAGGAAGACCAGUGGCGAAGGCGAGUUUCUGGACAGUUACUGACGCUGAGGCACGAAGGCCAGGGGAGCAAAACGGG